GGUCAUUUGAGAACUGUGAUG
RNAcentral lists this microRNA (21 nucleotides) under Arabidopsis lyrata. RNAcentral's name for it is "aly-miR3433-5p". The record is from miRBase by way of RNAcentral. Lineage: Eukaryota; Viridiplantae; Streptophyta; Magnoliopsida; Brassicales; Brassicaceae.